Molecule: ribosomal RNA, 764 nt
Filed under: uncultured bacterium
Lineage: Bacteria
Description: bacterial SSU rRNA
Rfam family: Bacterial small subunit ribosomal RNA
Source: RNAcentral
AAGUCGAACGCGAAAGGGAUUUCGGUCCUGAGUAGAGUGGCGCACGGGUGAGUAACGCGUAAGUUAUCUACCCCUCCAUCUGGAAUAACUCACCGAAAGGUGUGCUAAUACCGGAUACGUUGGAAACAAGAAAGGUGGCCUCUUCUAUGCUACCGUGGAGGGAUGAGCUUGCGUACCAUUAGCUAGUUGGUAGGGUAAUGGCCUACCAAGGCAACGAUGGUUAGCGGGUCUGAGAGGAUGAUCCGCCACACUGGAACUGGAACACGGACCAGACUCCUACGGGAGGCAGCAGUGAGGAAUAUUGCGCAAUGGGGGAAACCCUGACGCAGCGACGCCGCGUGGAUGAUGAAGGCCUUUGGGUCGUAAAAUCCUGUCAGAUGGAAAGAAAUGUACAUGUGCUAAUAUCACUUGUAUUUGACGGUACCAUCAAAGGAAGCACCGGCUAACUCCGUGCCAGCAGCCGCGGUAAUACGGAGGGUGCAAGCGUUGUUCGGAAUUACUGGGCGUAAAGCGCGCGUAGGUGGUUGUAUAAGUCAGAUGUGAAAGUCCACGGCUCAACCGUGGAAGUGCAUUUGAAACUGUAUGACUUGAGUAUUGGAGGGGGUAGUGGAAUUCCCGGUGUAGAGGUGAAAUUCGUAGAUAUCGGGAGGAAUACCGGUGGCGAAGGCGACUACCUGGCCAAAUACUGACACUGAGGUGCGAAAGCGUGGGGAGCAAACAGGAUUAGAUACCCUGGUAGUCCACGCCGUAAACGAUGUCAACUA